AUCUAUACCUUGGGAAAGUGCUCCUGAAGGGUCCUCCAGUGGGUAGGAUCAUGAUGAGAGCGAGUUUACCCAAAGUAUGGAUACCCUGACCGAUCAAAAAUGCAACCGAGCGGUUCGGAUAGUGUUGGGAGGAGGAAAUGGGCCCGAACCCUGGCCGAUACGGAUCUUCUGUAUCCGCCUCAAACAGACGAGUUAUGUUUUGUUGUUUAGUUUAAACCCAAACAGGUCGUUCAUGGUAUUAUUAUAGAACAUCGUUCAAGAAUAUCUUCCACGUUUAUUGUUACUCGUUUAUGGACUUUUACGUUUAGAAAUUCCCCCUCUACGUUUAAACUACCAGAUUCGUCGUGUUGUUGACUUAUAUAAUCGGUGAAAUGUAUCAAAAGAAAAGUAUAAUAUAGGUUGUAACGGUCUUUCACUUUCCUCAGAAGUUCCACAAUCAUAUUUUAUAGAAAGCAUGUUGAACCUACACCGUUAGAAGACUGUGUUUCGAAGAAGUCAUAAUAAUGAACUUCGUCUUAACUCCUAAUACUUUAACAUGGGUGAUGGGUAUCAUUCUAGUUUCUUUACUCACCAAAGGAAAAGAAUAAGGAUCGACCUUGUACCUUUUACGGUCGGAACUAGGUCGUAAUUUUACACUAUGCGAUAUUUUUCUAAUGUUAAAUUUUCUAUUCGUAAAGAAGUUUAUCAUAUUCGAAUGGUCCAAAUCUUUGAGAGUCAAACUUCUACUUGUAAGUUUAUA
RNAcentral lists this ribosomal RNA (739 nucleotides) under Triticum aestivum (bread wheat). RNAcentral's name for it is "partial small subunit ribosomal RNA". The record is from RNAcentral. Lineage: Eukaryota; Viridiplantae; Streptophyta; Magnoliopsida; Poales; Poaceae.